This 83-nucleotide transfer RNA is filed under the name bacterium. RNAcentral's name for it is "tRNA-Tyr". It matches the Rfam family "tRNA". From Rfam's summary of the family: Transfer RNA (tRNA) molecules are approximately 80 nucleotides in length. The record is from RNAcentral.
GGGACGGUGGCAGAGUGGUCAAAUGCACCUGACUGUAAAUCAGGCGGCGAAAGCCUACGGGAGUUCAAAUCUCUCCCGGCCCA